Molecule: long non-coding RNA, 3436 nt
Organism: Bombyx mori (domestic silkworm)
Lineage: Eukaryota; Metazoa; Arthropoda; Insecta; Lepidoptera; Bombycidae
Exons: 2
Source: RefSeq, a predicted model, not a curated record
CACAAGAGGUCCUACCACCAGUACGAGGGCAGAAGCCAGUUUAGUUGAUUUUGUGUUGUUUUUAUUUCGUUCAUGCUAUUGUAGAUAUAACUGUUUGAUAAUUAUUUCGUUGUUAUUAAGUUUUGACCACUAAAAGAACAGUGUUGUGCAGUCAAACACUAGAGUUUGUAGUACGCCUACAAGAUUACUUUGAAAGAGAGUAUCAGAAUGGUGGUCCAUUGAUGUCACUUUCACAAAUGACGAACCGAGUAAGUGCAGCUCUUGGUAUUUAGUCGAAAAACUGUUUCCCGAAUAAGUAAGGAAAAACAUGGUAAAGAUUUAACGGAAGAUAAAUUAAAAUCGCCAAUUAAGAAAAAAGUUAGAAGAUCAAUGGUUACACAUAUCAGCAACUUUGAUGACGCCAUUAUAAACCAUAUCUAUGGCUACUAUAGUAGGAACGAAGUGCAGACUCUGAUUAAAUUGUCAAAUACUUUACGAGAAUCUGGACUAUUUCACGGUAGUAGAAUUUCUUUGUGGCGAGUUUUAAAAAAGUUAGCUUUCAUAACGUGUAAUAAAAUGCGGAUUUUGAUGGAAUGUAGAGAUAUAGCUUUAGCCAGAUGUAAUUUUCUAAGAUCUGCAAAGUCCAUUACCGUUUGGAAUAAUGUUAUAUUUCUAGAUGAGACGUGUCUAAAUGCUAAACACACAGUCGGCAGGAUAAGGACAGACGACACUCCUCACUCCUCCACAAAAGUACCUAGUGGCAAAUGCAAAUGCUUAUUUAUUUGUCAUGCGGGUUCCAUGAAGGGAUUUCUUCCGAACUGCCUCUUGACGUUUAAAUCUAAGAAAACUGUGGAAUACCACGAAGAGAUGAAUUUUGUUAAAUAUAUAAAGAACGGUUACAGGUUAAGGAAGGUACAAACCUUAUUGACCAAUUUAAAUGAGCCAUCGACGAUCAUUAUGGAUAAUGCACCGUAUCAUUCAGUACAAAUAUGUAAGCCUCCAACUUCUAGUAGCACAAAAGCGGCUCGUAAAAAUACCAGCCCACCGUUUACUGCAAACAAAAUGCUGUCAUUGUUGCAAGAAGCUUGUGAAGUUUAAGCAAAAAUAUGUGAUAUCCCUAGGUUUUCAAGGUGGGUGGUGCAUAUGUAGAUGUCUAUGGGCUCCAGUAACCACUUAACACCAGGUGGGCUGUGAGCUCGUCCACACAUCUAAGCAAUAAAAAAAUACUUAACUAAGUUAUAUUUAGUUGGGAAAUGAUCCCCGACAGAUUUUUCCUGUAAGUUUUGAGGCAAUUAGAAAAAACAUAAUAAUAUAUAAAACGCUUAUAAAACAUACAUAUAUGUUGUAAAUGAAUCAAGAUGGAGAAAAGUUGUUCAGAUGAGACAGCAUCGUGUUUGAUGUGAUAAAAUGAAAUAACCUCCCACUUCCCAGUAAGAUGACGGCCAAUUACUUUAUUUAAUGUACUUACUUUAAUUACUUUAUUUAAUGAUGUGCAUGUAACAUUUCUAAUAGUUUUUUUUUCACAGUACUUAAUUAUCAACGUCGAUCAUUUAACAGUGAUGUUACACACGAAAUGUAUUAACAAAGCAAGGAGGGCAGGCAUAAUCAAAGGUAAUCCAAUUUUAGGACGAGUACAUAAUCGAUUUGUUUUUGGAAAAAAUAUUCUUAAAGCCCUAAAAAUAAGAGUUAAAAAUGUUUGUAUUCCACGUGUGCGGUUUUAUAGAUUUUAUGAAAAUAUGGAUAUUUCAAGAUAUGUGGAUAUUGAAAACAGGAAAGGCGGUCAUAUGUGUUUGUAGCUGUCAGUCAAGUAUGAAAGGUUUCUUACUUUAAGAUUUGAUUUAAGAGAACGAUGUCCGGUGCUUGAGGUACCUAAAAGCACCGUUAAUGGAUCGGGAGGAUCCGAAAUGACGUGAUGAGAAAACGAGCAGUCGUUUUUACCUUAAAAAAAAUCUGUUUACGAGCGUCGGACACUAGAUGGCUUGUUAUUAGUUUCUCAUUACUCCUAUAGAUGGCAGUAAUUUAAUUUAAUACCUAUCUUUUAGAUAUAAUGAAGGAUUUUACAAAAAAGUAUGUUUCUUUAAACAAUUAGAAUUUAUAUAAAUGAUGAAUGGGUCGUUUCUCUUAUACCAGGACUCCCCAUUAGAAAAUUUGAUUUAAGGAUGGAAAAUAAAGAAAACCACUCUACUACAUACCACAAAAGAAGUUUCACUUCUUUCACGUGCAUCAAGUUGCAAGCGCACCAUUUAUUUAUAACAAACAGUACCACGUAAACUAUCAUAAUUGCAAUCUGUCAAUGAAAGUUUGAGAAAUAAUAACUGGAGAUAUAUGUAGUACAUAUUUAGUGAAGUAAGUUACUAAAAAUAAUUCAACUUGGGGCAGGCAUUUACUUUUUACAUACGGUUAGAGUCUGUGCGCGUUUUGCAUUUCAAUUAAAACAAAAUGCAAGAGGGUUUUAAUUUAUUUUCAAGCCUAUCAAUUACAUGUUAUUUAAGGGAAAACCAUUUUUGUUGUUUUCUCUAUUGAUUCUUUGUGGUUCCCGUCUGAUACUAUGUAGUUAUGUACAUACUACUAGAAACCGUUACAAGAUUUGAUCAAAAUUCAUGAUACUAUUUUAUUUUUUAUUUGAUUCCUGAAAAAAAAUGACUUAUCACAACCUUUUUCAUUCUUGUUUGCUACUCGAGAUCCAAAUUGUAGAGCUCUUUUGGGAAACGUAGAGACUUCCAUCAAACCAAUAUUAUAAGCUACGAGUCUCAGCAUUAAUUUGUCGCCUAAGCCAUGGCCCAAAUGUUUACUUGGAAAACAUCUGAAAAAUGUAUAUUACAUUUAAUUUUAUGCUUUUCUUACAAAUAAAAUACAUGUCAUAAAAAAAUCACAUCCUUUACUAGGUAAACGUCUUGAAAUAUGUGACUAUUAGAGUCUUGCUCUAUAAGGGUUUACUUUUUAAAACUGUAAUUUUAAAUAACUGCAUAUUUUACAGAUCCUCACAUAUUAUAAUGAGACCUACUAUACACCUUUCAUUUGGGUGCUCUAAUUUCCUGUGCUGUCAUUGAAAUGCUUAUCAGAUAUCUAAUACCAUGUUAUAUAUUAUAGUAAUAGAUGCUCUGCUUAGAUGUACUGAUUGAUGUAUUAUAUCAUUACUACCACUUACUUUAACCAAGGUUUUAAAUGGAUAACAAAUUCAGCAAAUUCUUCAUCUAGAUAGGGCAUUCUGGGUUGUCGACCAUGAUCACAAAUAACUCUGUUAUCCCGAGCUAAAUUUCUGUAUGGGAUCCUUUCCCAAUCUAAUUGUAAUUCUUUACAUAGACCAGCCCAUCCUAACCGUUUAAAAACAGCCCUGUGUCUUGUGUAUCCACCAAAUAAUUCAUCUGCACCAGUACCACUAAAUAAAACCUUAAAAUGUAACAUAUAAAUGAUUACAUUUAAAUCCAAUAUUAUUAAUUUUUUUUAGAAAUAAAAA